Molecule: long non-coding RNA, 219 nt
Organism: Papilio polytes (common Mormon)
Lineage: Eukaryota; Metazoa; Arthropoda; Insecta; Lepidoptera; Papilionidae
Exons: 2
Source: RefSeq, a predicted model, not a curated record
CAGGAGGAGCGCUGCACUUGGCUGCGGCGGCCGCAGUCGCUGGCGCUACCCUCCGCACCACUCUCCGACAUAGAAUGCAAUAAAACGAAUGACGUGGUCGCCAUAGACAUAGAGCGUACGGAAUCCAUCAUAGAGGAUAGAGCGGACGCGACCACAGACACGCAAGAACGAACACUACUCGUUGAUUGAUGAAUACACGCUUAUUGCCAACGUUAUUGG